CCUACGGGACGCAGCAGUGGGGAAUAUUGCACAAUGGGGGGAACCCUGAUGCAGCGACGCCGCGUGGGUGAAGAAGUACUUCGGUACGUAAAGCCCUAUCAGCAGGGAAGAAAAUGACGGUACCUGACUAAGAAGCCCCGGCUAACUACGUGCCAGCAGCCGCGGUAAUACGUAGGGGGCAAGCGUUAUCCGGAUUUACUGGGUGUAAAGGGAGCGCAGACGGCAGGGCAAGUCUGGAGUGAAAGCCCGGGGCUCAACCUGGGGACUGCACUGGAAACU
Molecule: ribosomal RNA, 279 nt
Filed under: uncultured bacterium
Lineage: Bacteria
Description: partial 16S ribosomal RNA
Rfam family: Bacterial small subunit ribosomal RNA
Source: RNAcentral